CUCAAGAAAAGCAUGUCAUAUACUGCAGUCGUACCGAGUGUCAUCGCUGUGAAUGAUCGGUGCUUGCACCGAGAUUCAAUAAGCAAACGAGUGGCGGACGGGUGAGUAACACGUGGGUAACCUGCCCUUAAGUGGGGGAUAACAUUUGGAAACAGAUGCUAAUACCGCAUAGAUCCAAGAACCGCAUGGUUCUUGGCUGAAAGAUGGCGUAAGCUAUCGCUUUUGGAUGGACCCGCGGCGUAUUAGCUAGUUGGUGAGGUAAUGGCUCACCAAGGCGAUGAUACGUAGCCGAACUGAGAGGUUGAUCGGCCACAUUGGGACUGAGACACGGCCCAAACUCCUACGGGAGGCAGCAGUAGGGAAUCUUCCACAAUGGACGCAAGUCUGAUGGAGCAACGCCGCGUGAGUGAAGAAGGCUUUCGGGUCGUAAAACUCUGUUGUUGGAGAAGAAUGGUCGGCAGAGUAACUGUUGUCGGCGUGACGGUAUCCAACCAGAAAGCCACGGCUAACUACGUGCCAGCAGCCGCGGUAAUACGUAGGUGGCAAGCGUUAUCCGGAUUUAUUGGGCGUAAAGCGAGCGCAGGCGGUUUUUUAAGUCUGAUGUGAAAAGCCCUCGGCUUAACCGAGGAAGCGCAUCGGAAACUGGGAAACUUGAGUGCCCAAGAAGACAGUGGAACUCCAUGUGUAACGCUGAGAUGCG
Molecule: ribosomal RNA, 700 nt
Filed under: Lacticaseibacillus casei
Lineage: Bacteria; Bacillati; Bacillota; Bacilli; Lactobacillales; Lactobacillaceae
Description: bacterial SSU rRNA
Rfam family: Bacterial small subunit ribosomal RNA
Source: RNAcentral